Molecule: long non-coding RNA, 511 nt
Organism: Triticum dicoccoides
Lineage: Eukaryota; Viridiplantae; Streptophyta; Magnoliopsida; Poales; Poaceae
Exons: 2
Source: RefSeq, a predicted model, not a curated record
UGCUAGAACCCGGGAGCAUAUGAUUUUGCUGCUCAUGACAUACGCGUCAAUAUUGCAAUCAACUCUGACUGCAAUUGUAUAGACAAGGGCCUGCAUUCUAUAUGGAAGGUUCGACAUUGAAGCUGCUUGCAUUGAUCUGCAAUAGAUCUUGACUUCAGCGGAAAAUGAGGUUUCAUGGAGGCAGUGCCUUAUUCUACAUGAUGGGAAUUCAACGGCAUUUUAUUGUUUUGUUCUUAAAUACUAGCUGGGUGUGCCGUCUAUUCACAGAUGAAGUAAUCUGAACAUCUCUUGCAGACAAAACACUCGGGGAAAGUUCCCAGCCGUGCACCUGUGACCGCUGAAGAGGCAUACUGUUUUAGGAAUGCAUGACAGACUGGUCGCGAGAUUUGUGUCUAGGAUGGAAUUACAUGAUAUGUCAAAAUGGUGGUCUUUAUUAUGCAAUUUAACUGAUCUCUUGUUGCACCUCUCCUUUCCAGAAAAACAAUUAUUUAAUUUUUCAAAUUUGAUCUUC